This 884-nucleotide ribosomal RNA is filed under the name uncultured archaeon. RNAcentral describes it as "bacterial SSU rRNA". It matches the Rfam family "Archaeal small subunit ribosomal RNA", at positions 459 to 1344 of the family's 1478-position model. The record is from RNAcentral.
CAGCAGCCGCGGUAAUACCAGCCCCCCGAGUGGUAGGGAUGUUUAUUUGGCCUAAAGCGUCCGUAGCCGGUUAAGUAAAUUUCUCGUUAAAUCCAACGUCCAAGCGUUGGGCUGCGAGAAAGACUGCUAAACUAGAGGGUGGGAGAGGUCAGCGGUAUUCCUGGGGUAGGGGCGAAAUCCUUUGAACCCAGGAGGACCACCAGUGGCGAAGGCUGCUGACUAGAACACGCCUGACGGUGAGGGACGAAAGCUGGGGUAGCGAAUCGGAUUAGAUACCCGAGUAGUCCCAGCUGUAAACGAUGCAGACUAGGUGUUGGGUUGGCCACGCGCCGACUCAGUGCCACAGGGAAGCCAUUAAGUCUGCCGCCUGGGAAGUACGGCCGCAAGGCUGAAACUUAAAGGAAUUGGCGGGGGAGCACCACCAGGCGUGAAGCCUGCGGUUUAAUUGGAGUCAACGCCGGGAACCUUACCGGGAGCGACAGCAGAGUGAAGGCCAGGCUAAAGGUCUUGCCAGACGAGCUGAGAGGAGGUGCAUGGCCGUCGCCAGUUCGUGCCGUGAGGUGUCCUCUUAAGUGAGGUAACGAACGAGACCCGCGCCGCAUGUUGCUAACAAGUCCUAAAGGGAUGUUGAGCACUCUUGCGGGACCGCAGCCGACAAGGCUGAGGAAGGUGCGGGCAACGGCAGGUCAGUAUGCCCCGAAUCUCCCGGGCCACACGCGGGCUGCAAUGGUAGAGACAGAGGGCUGCAACCCCGAAAGGGGAAGCCAAUCCCUAAACUCUACCUCAGUUGGGAUUGAGGGCUGCAACCCGCCCUCAUGAACAUGGAAUGCCUAGUAACCGCCAGUCAUCAUCUGGCGGUGAAUACGUCCCUGCCCCUUGCACAC